Mus musculus (house mouse) is the source of this 1089-nucleotide long non-coding RNA. RefSeq annotates it as predicted gene, 20063. NCBI's taxonomy places the organism in Eukaryota, Metazoa, Chordata, Mammalia, Rodentia, Muridae. The transcript has 3 exons. The record is from RefSeq and is marked validated.
GAGAGAUGAACUCAGCCUGGAGUACUUUAAGUGGUAACUGCUCCAGUUUUCUCUUCCCUUCUCUGGGCUCCUCUCUUUGCUUCCGACCAGGUUCCACUCCUGUUUAUCCCUGGGUGGUUCGCCCCUGGAUUUAGCAAUGCGAUCUACUUGCUGGUUAUUUGAUUCCGGAGGAGCAUUGGCUGGGGCUGCGAUUCCCGCCGCGCAGUCUCCAAGCAUUUCCGCCACAUCGCCGGGGCUCCAGGUUCCAGUGCAAGUCUUCAGCGGUAGAUUGCAGAACUGAAAACGAGUUUGAGCAUCCAAGCAUCUCUCUUAACAGCCAGGUGCUGACCAGUAAGAUUCCAUACAAAUCUGCAAAAGGACUCUGGAGGACAAAUACUUCAGCAGACACCAUGAAGUCCUGGAGAGUCUCCACAAAAACCGUGAGUGUUUCUCCCGUGUAUAGUCAAGGAAGUGGAUAACCCAGUAUUCCAAGAAAUCCCAAGGUAGAGCCUUCACCUCAAGGAGGAGGCCACGUCUGAAGGCACAGAAGAGAAAGUGCUGCUUUCUGGCUUCCCUUUAAACUUGGAAGCUUUGUGGACUUGAGGGCAAGUGAUGAAAUCGCCCCAGCUUGGACUCCAGGAAGAUCCAAAUGAGCACUUCCAAGUAGGAUGUGGAGGGUGACUUCUUUUGCCUUCAGGACUGUCCCACUUGCUGUCCCGCUUAGCUGAAAGAACUAAGUCUCCUAAAUAAGUAUUUGUGGUUCACCAAAGUGAACAAAGUAUAUAUCCAAAUAUUGAUUCAGAAUCCAAAAGACCUCUGCCUCUCUGGAUUGAAUAACUUUCCUUCUUUUUCCUCUUUCCUUUACAUUUUAUACCCGGACAAAGCAGUGUGGGGACCUUCAGUGUGCACUGAUGAUGAAUCAGCCUUGGAACCUGUCUGUGGCAUGAACCUGGGAGAUCAGAGCUUAAAAAUGAUGUGGAUUAAAGUCUCAAGCAAUAGCCAACUUUACUCAGAGCAUCUGGCAAUUUAUCCUCUGAGGGAUGAGAAGAGUCACCUCUGUGAAGUGUACAGUUACAAAGACAAGCUGCAUGUGGGAGAAAACAAACAAAC